Molecule: ribosomal RNA, 434 nt
Filed under: uncultured bacterium
Lineage: Bacteria
Description: partial 16S ribosomal RNA
Rfam family: Bacterial small subunit ribosomal RNA
Source: RNAcentral
AGCGAACGCUGGCGGCAGGCCUAACACAUGCAAGUCGAACGAACCUUUCGGGGUUAGUGGCGGACGGGUGAGUAACACGUGGGAACGUGCCUUUAGGUUCGGAAUAACUCAGGGAAACUUGUGCUAAUACCGAAUGUGCCCUUCGGGGGAAAGAUUAAUCGCCUUUAGAGCGGCCCGCGUCUGAUUAGCUAGUUGGUUGAGGUAAUGGCUCACCAAGGCGACGAUCAGUAGCUGGUCUGAGAGGAUGAUCAGCCACAUUGGGACUGAGACACGGCCCAAACUCCUACGGGAAGCAGCAGUGGGGAAUCUUGCGCAAUGGGCGAAAGCCUGACGCAGCCAUGCCGCGUGAAUGAUGAAGGUCUUAGGAUUGUAAAAUUCUUUCACCGGGGACGAUAAUGACGGUACUCGGAGAAGAAGCCCCGGCUAACUUCGUG